CAUCGCCGAGUUCGGUUGAUGCAAAGGUCGUUCAAACGUCCCUUGGCAGUUUUUGGUAUCAGCUCCUCUUCGCAAAGUGCACGCUGCUUCGGGAUUACUGAUGCAGGUCAUCUGUGCGGGAACUCGGGACAAUUGGAGCACAAUCAUUGCAUGAGAAAUCAGCUAGCUGCUGGGGAUCAAAUAGUCACGUCUUUGAACAGGAGAAAGUGAGGACUGCAGAUGCUGGAGAUC
Chiloscyllium plagiosum (whitespotted bambooshark) is the source of this 231-nucleotide non-coding RNA. The record is from RefSeq and is a predicted model, not a curated record. Lineage: Eukaryota; Metazoa; Chordata; Chondrichthyes; Orectolobiformes; Hemiscylliidae.